Molecule: ribosomal RNA, 373 nt
Filed under: uncultured organism
Description: partial 16S ribosomal RNA
Rfam family: Bacterial small subunit ribosomal RNA
Source: RNAcentral
GUAGGUGGCAAGCGUUGUCCGGAAUUAGUUGGGCGUAAAGCGCGCGCAGGCGGUUCUUUAAGUCUGAUGUGAAAGCCCACGGCUCAACCGUGGAGGGUCAUUGGAAACUGGAGAACUUGAGUACAGAAGAGGAAAGCGGAAUUCCACGUGUAGCGGUGAAAUGCGUAGAGAUGUGGAGGAACACCAGUGGCGAAGGCGGCUUUCUGGUCUGUAACUGACGCUGAGGCGCGAAAGCGUGGGGGAGCAAACAGGAUUAGAUACCCUGGUAGUCCACGCCGUAAACGAUGAGUGCUAAGCGUUAGGGGGUUUCCGCCCCUUAGUGCUGCAGCUAACGCAUUAAGCACUCCGCCCUGGGAGUGCGGCCGCAAGGCUG